AACUUAGCAGAGAUGCUUUGGUGCCUUCGGGAACUCUGAGACAAGUGCUGCAUGGCUGUCGUCAGCUCGUGUUGUGAAAUGUGGGUUAAGUCCCGNAACGAGCGCAACCCCUAUCCUUGUUGCCAGCGAUUCGGUCGGGAACUCAAAGGAGACUGCCGGUGAUAAACCGGAGGAAGGUGGGGAUGACGUCAAGUCAUCAUGGCCCUUACGAGUAGGGCUACACACGUGCUACAAUGGCGCAUACAAAGAGAAGCGACCUCGCGAGAGCAAGCGGACCUCAUAAAGUGCGUCGUAGUCCGGAUUGGAGUCUGCAACUCGACUCCAUGAAGUCGGAAUCGCUAGUAAUCGUAGAUCAGAAUGCUACGGUGAAUACGUUCCCGGGCCUUGUACACACCGCCCGUCACACCAUGGGAGUGGGUUGCAAAAGAAGUAGAUAGCUUAACCUUCGGGAGGGCGUUUACCACUUUGUGAUUCAUGACUGGGGUGAAGUCGUAACAAGGUAGGCGUACGUGU
Molecule: ribosomal RNA, 513 nt
Filed under: uncultured bacterium
Lineage: Bacteria
Description: bacterial SSU rRNA
Rfam family: Bacterial small subunit ribosomal RNA
Source: RNAcentral